AUUAACUGUAGUAAAAUUUUACAUAAACAAAGAAACCGACAUGUGUACAUUUAAUAGAUAAUAAAAUUUAAACAAAAAUUUUUUUAUUACUUUAAAAUAAUUUCUUUACUUUUAAUAAACGUUAUACGAUUAGAAAGUCUACAAUUAUAAAGUAGCAAGAGCAACGCAACGUUUGUGAUGCGCAUGGUGAAUGACUGUGUAAUGUAUACACAUUUACAUUCAUACAAUCAUACACAUACACAUUUUCACGCAUACACGCACUAACACUUUAAUAUUUUAUUUUUUGUUAACGGCAUGUAUUUUUAUACUUUGAUUGCAUUUGUUUGUACAGAUUCCGGCACGCGUAGCAAUCCCUACUACUACUAACGUUGCAAGCCCAUCAAAUUCUUCGACUUCUGAUGCACACAUUCCAGCACAUGCAAUCACCCCUACCACUGCUAAUAACGUUGCAACUCCUGUCAAUGAUGAUGCAACUUUGGAAGAUUAUCCCAACGAUCCUUCUUCUGCUUCACACAGACCAAGAGGUAGGAAAGCGGGAGCCCACGUUCAACAGGAACGUUUUAUGAAAUUCUUGUUCAGGUUGUCAUCAGCUCAAUACAACUAGGGACAAAAGCAACAUCGUAGAUGGCCCAAGGAAUAAUAAGUUUCUUCUUAAUUCAUUAUUACAGUACGAAAGUGUUUUAAUUUUCAGAUUUUAAUUUUUAAUAUCCUUGUAUAACGUUAGAUUAACAAUUCAUUGGAUGACAAUUUUUCAAUUAGAAAUAGAUAAAAUAAUAUAAACUUAUUUUUAUAU
Molecule: long non-coding RNA, 793 nt
Organism: Solenopsis invicta (red fire ant)
Lineage: Eukaryota; Metazoa; Arthropoda; Insecta; Hymenoptera; Formicidae
Exons: 3
Source: RefSeq, a predicted model, not a curated record